GGGGCUGUAGUAUAGCUUGGUAGAAUUCGCCCAUGGGGUGGGUGAGGCCGCGGUUCAAAGACACAACCGAAUUGCGAUUCGGCUGUGCCACGCCUCUUCGAGGCUUUGGAAAUCCGCGCAGCCCCA
This 126-nucleotide transfer RNA is filed under the name Nanobdellota archaeon. Its description in RNAcentral is "tRNA-Pro". The record is from RNAcentral. Lineage: Archaea; Nanobdellati; Nanobdellota.